RNAcentral lists this long non-coding RNA (230 nucleotides) under Panax ginseng (ginseng). RNAcentral's name for it is "long non-coding RNA (PGIN_LNC014058)". Lineage: Eukaryota; Viridiplantae; Streptophyta; Magnoliopsida; Apiales; Araliaceae. The record is from RNAcentral.
UUGUUAUUUAGUUAUUUAAAUGAGCCCUCUUUUCUUUUUAUAAAUUUUAUUCAAUUUUAAUCCCCCACGAAAAAUGUCAACACUCUAAUUUUCAUGAUUCUCUUAUGAUCCUAUCUUGAUUACGCCUAAUUCCCCUGUUCGACAAAAGGCCCUUUUGGAUAUAAUAAUCGCAUUGUAGCGGGUAUAGUUUAGUGGUAAAAGUGUGAUUCGUUGCAGUAAUCCCCUUAAAU